RNAcentral lists this ribosomal RNA (513 nucleotides) under Staphylococcus capitis. RNAcentral's name for it is "bacterial SSU rRNA". It matches the Rfam family "Bacterial small subunit ribosomal RNA", at positions 1019 to 1533 of the family's 1533-position model. Lineage: Bacteria; Bacillati; Bacillota; Bacilli; Caryophanales; Staphylococcaceae. The record is from RNAcentral.
UCGGGGGACAGAGUGACAGGUGGUGCAUGGUUGUCGUCAGCUCGUGUCGUGAGAUGUUGGGUUAAGUCCCGCAACGAGCGCAACCCUUAAGCUUAGUUGCCAUCAUUAAGUUGGGCACUCUAAGUUGACUGCCGGUGACAAACCGGAGGAAGGUGGGGAUGACGUCAAAUCAUCAUGCCCCUUAUGAUUUGGGCUACACACGUGCUACAAUGGACAAUACAAAGGGUAGCGAAACCGCGAGGUCAAGCAAAUCCCAUAAAGUUGUUCUCAGUUCGGAUUGUAGUCUGCAACUCGACUACAUGAAGCUGGAAUCGCUAGUAAUCGUAGAUCAGCAUGCUACGGUGAAUACGUUCCCGGGUCUUGUACACACCGCCCGUCACACCACGAGAGUUUGUAACACCCGAAGCCGGUGGAGUAACCUUUUGGAGCUAGCCGUCGAAGGUGGGACAAAUGAUUGGGGUGAAGUCGUAACAAGGUAGCCGUAUCGGAAGGUGCGGCUGGAUCACCUCCUUU